UUUGUUGUGUGCAGUGAUUUCAUUGAGGAGUGGGUCAAAAUUGGUUUACCUGCAAAGGCAAAGGUGAAGGCAAAGCAUGGAGAUGCACCUUUUGGAGAGCUAUGCACACACUGUGAGAAGGUAUGAGAGAAGAGUACAAACCAAUUCACAAGCAAUAAACUUAUGUCAACAACACACUCUUUUAUCGGUUGAAAUCCAUAUGAACUUCACAAAAUUUAUGUGGAACUACAUAAUUUAACAUAAUCCAUUUGAAUUUCAACUAUCAGAAGAGUGUGUGUUGGAAAGAUUACGUUGCUAGCACUUCUCGAAUGUUAAAAUCCAGAUUAGUGCGAAUAUCAACAAAUUUUGUACACUCUUUCGAACACUCUUUAUUUUUUAUAAAAGUAAAUGCUCAAAAGCGAUCUCUAACAUUUUCUUUCAAACACUAUAUUAUUAGUCUAAUUUCAUAUAGGACUCAUCAGAUAUGAAUUUCAACAAAUAGUCGAGUGUUAGAGAAUAUGUUGCAGACAGUGAUGAUAUAAAAUGAUCGGCAAGAAACAUUUUUUAGUGAAUCUUACAAGUUAAAAUUUGAAUUAUGUGCAGGAAGCUGUGAAUGUUUCUCUUGGAAACCUUCUAACCUACCCAUUUGUGAGAGAGGGAUUGGUGAACAAAACAUUGGCACUAAAAGGAGGAUACUAUGACUUUGUGAAAGGAUCUUUUGAGCUUUGGGGACUUGAAUUUGGCCUUUCUUCAACUUUCUCCGUAUGAACAUCAACCAUAUAUCAAUGACCACAUCUUGAUUACCUAAGUAUUCUCCUCUCUAAAAUGUACUAUAUGUAAUUACCCUUGUUAAUUAAUUAUAAGCUAAAUUCCAAAAUAAAUAAAUGUAGAUGGAAAUUAUAUAUUCUCCAUCAAUCAUUUUUACAUAGCUCCAAAUUAUAUUAUAAUAAUGUUACUUUUGUUGCAUAUAUAAGUAAAUAAACAAGUUAAGAGCAAAGUGUAAUUUAUGGUGUUUCACUUUCACCACUAAAUUUUUGUUGUUUGUUAGGUAA
Molecule: long non-coding RNA, 1031 nt
Filed under: Medicago truncatula (barrel medic)
Lineage: Eukaryota; Viridiplantae; Streptophyta; Magnoliopsida; Fabales; Fabaceae
Description: long non-coding RNA (MTRU_LNC003772)
Source: RNAcentral